UUUACAAUGAACAAAAACAUACCUAGACAAAAACAACAGACAUUUAGAUACAUUUCCACAAACAUGAAUGACAUCACACUUGCUCAGACCCACAUCUUUCCACCCGUUUUUGUUUCUAAUGUUUGGAAGACAUUACUAUACUAUCAGUCAUUACUAUUCCUUGUUUUGCCAUUAUAGUUCAGAUCCAAUGGUGGUUAUUGGCGAGAGUGAAGAUGGGUUCUAUCCAAGGGAUCGGGACAAGGGGGCUGGGAGGGCAUCAGACUGGGAGGACAUCAGACUGGGAGGGCAUCAGGCUGGGAGGGCAUCAGGCUGGGAGGACAUCAGACUGGGAGGGCAUCAGACUGGGAGGGCAUCAGGCUGGGAGGGCAUCAGGCUGGGAGGACAUCAGACUAGGAAGACAUCAGACUGGGAGGACAUCAGGCUGGGAAGACAUCAAGCUGGGAGGGCAUCAGGCUGGGAGGGCAUCAGGCUGGGAGGGCAUCAGACUGGGAGGGCAUCAGACUGGGAGGGCAUCAGGCUGGGAGGACAUCAGACUGGGAGGACAUCAGACUGGGAGGACAUCAGACUGGGAGGACAUCAGACUGGGAGGGCAUCAGGCUGGGAGGACAUCAGACUGGGAGGACAUCAGACUGGGAGGACAUCAGACACUUCCCUGAAACAUGUGUGGUACGUCCACUCAUCUCACUUCGGCCUUUCGUUUGACCCACUCUGAGUCAAGUUAGAGCCCACCAGCCACAAUACUUUCAGCCCACCAGCCACUAUACUUUCAGCCCACCAGCCACUAUACUUUCAUUUGAAACUGACCACAGUAUUUAAGUGGCACUUUCGCCAAUGUAUUUACAAUGACAGACUGUAAUCGAUAUUAGGGGAGGAGCAGGAGCAUAAAUGUAUUUACAAUGACAGACUGUAAUCGCCAAUGUAUUUACAAUGACAGACUGUAAUCG
Molecule: long non-coding RNA, 944 nt
Organism: Oncorhynchus tshawytscha (Chinook salmon)
Lineage: Eukaryota; Metazoa; Chordata; Actinopteri; Salmoniformes; Salmonidae
Source: Ensembl